This 76-nucleotide transfer RNA is filed under the name Pontimonas salivibrio. RNAcentral's name for it is "tRNA-Arg". It matches the Rfam family "tRNA". Rfam says of the family: Transfer RNA (tRNA) molecules are approximately 80 nucleotides in length. RNAcentral also lists the same sequence under 5 other names. The record is from RNAcentral. Lineage: Bacteria; Bacillati; Actinomycetota; Actinomycetes; Micrococcales; Microbacteriaceae.
GCGCCCGUAGCUCAACGGAUAGAGCAUCUGACUACGGAUCAGAAGGUUGGGGGUUCGAAUCCCUCCGGGCGUGCCA